RNAcentral lists this ribosomal RNA (74 nucleotides) under Paratlanticus ussuriensis. RNAcentral's name for it is "partial 26S ribosomal RNA". Lineage: Eukaryota; Metazoa; Arthropoda; Insecta; Orthoptera; Tettigoniidae. The record is from RNAcentral.
CUCAGAGCAGGCGAAACUACCCGCUGAAUUUAAGCAUAUCAAUAAAGCGGAAGGAAAACAACCACCGACACGCC